This 231-nucleotide unclassified non-coding RNA is filed under the name Phaeosphaeria podocarpi. RNAcentral describes it as "partial internal transcribed spacer region". The stretch from base 1 to 46 matches the Rfam family "Eukaryotic small subunit ribosomal RNA", at positions 1786 to 1831 of the family's 1831-position model. Lineage: Eukaryota; Fungi; Ascomycota; Dothideomycetes; Pleosporales; Phaeosphaeriaceae. The record is from RNAcentral.
AAGUCGUAACAAGGUUUCCGUAGGUGAACCUGCGGAAGGAUCAUUACAUUCAGUAGCCUAGCUACUUGUUUAUACCCUUGUUUUUUGCGUACCCUUGUUUUUUGCGUACCUAUUGUUUCCUCGGUGGGCUUGCCUGCCGGUUGGACAACACUAUAACCUUUUUAAAUCUUCAAUCAGCGUCUGAAUUAUACAUAAUAAUUACAACUUUCAACAACGGAUCUCUUGGUUCUG